UAGAAUUACUCGAGUCUGAGUUUCUUAACUCAAUCUUGUAGACAUUUUACCUUUUGUAGAGUAGUUACAGUAACCGGAGCACAGACAGAGAGACGUGGUGUGUGGUAUAUUUUAUUCCAGAAAGGGUUUGAUCCCAUCAGAUCAACCUGAAAGGUUUUUGGUAUCUAUCAGCUUAGAGAAUUGUAUACUGUAGUUAGAAGAAUACUGCAGAUGAUUUAUUGUAACAGUUAUCAACUGGUAAUAAAAGUAUUCCAAGUCUUCUAGGAUGUGUUGGUGACCGAUAGGGUAAUAGACACAGAUUAAUGGAGCCCCCAGUGGGGAUCGAACUCACGACCCCUGGUUUACACACAUUCGGAAUAAUUGUUUUAAAAUAUGUCUGGUCUAUAUAGGCAUAUAUUUAUAGUGCAUGUUUCAACUCUUCGUCAAAAUUUAUUCAUCAUCUUUUAUGGCUCUUUUAUACACUUCAGUGCAUGAUUAUCGAACACUUCCUAAUUCUUAUAAUGUAUAUAUACUUAAUUGCAAGUGGAAUAUAAAAACGUGGUGUAUGAUAUAUCAAAAUGGUGUAGUACUUAUAUAAAGUUUCUUGUAACUCUUACUAGAGUGACCAUUUACAUAAUUUUU
This is a long non-coding RNA of Mercenaria mercenaria, 621 nucleotides long. RefSeq lists it as uncharacterized. The transcript has 3 exons. The record is from RefSeq and is a predicted model, not a curated record. NCBI's taxonomy places the organism in Eukaryota, Metazoa, Mollusca, Bivalvia, Venerida, Veneridae.